AGUCGAACAAAAUUUAUUUAUUUUUUCGACAAAUUUAAUUGAAAUGAUUUAAUUUAAUCCAAAAAAUAUAUUAAAAAAA
Molecule: unclassified non-coding RNA, 79 nt
Filed under: Batrachochytrium dendrobatidis
Lineage: Eukaryota; Fungi; Chytridiomycota; Chytridiomycetes; Rhizophydiales
Description: partial ITS1
Source: RNAcentral